GAAAGAGGAAGAGAUUCUGUGAGAUCCCCUGUUAACUUUGACUUUCAUGUCCCAUUUUCGUUUCUGUUCUUGGGUUUAGUAUCUUAAAUUUCUGGAUCAGCUUUCUCAGAAAAUGAAGUUGGACCAGAUGGCUGCCGAACUUGGCUUUGACAUGAGGCUGGACAUGUUUUUAGCUCGAACAGAGCAGCUGGUUCGUCUUGAGAGCAAUGCAGUCAUUGAGAACAAGACCAUUGCCCAGAAUUUGCAGAGAAAGCUAAAGACACAGAAAGAGAGACUGGAGAGCAAAGAAUUACACAUGAGCCUCCUCCGGCAGAAAAUAGCCCAGCUGGAGGAGGAGAAGCAGGCACGCACGGCCGUGGUGGUUGAGAGGGACAACGCGCAUCUUACCAUCAGGAAGUUGCAGAAGAAGGUGGAGAGGCUGCAGAAAGAGCUGAACACGUGUCGAGACUUGCACACCGAGCUCAAAGCCAAACUGGCUGACACCAAUGAACUGAAGAUUAAAACUUUGGAACAGACUAAAGCCAUUGAAGAUCUAAACAAAUCCAGAGACCAGCUGGAGAAGAUGAAGGAGAAA
RNAcentral lists this small RNA (574 nucleotides) under Pongo abelii (Sumatran orangutan). Its description in RNAcentral is "retained intron". The record is from RNAcentral. Lineage: Eukaryota; Metazoa; Chordata; Mammalia; Primates; Hominidae.